GUCCAACCAGGGCAACACUGGCUCAUUACUGGGUGCAUCUACAUGGGCAUUAAUGUGCCAUAGUCACAGCGCAUUAAAUUUAGGACCUGCAAUAACAGGGAAUAACUC
Molecule: long non-coding RNA, 108 nt
Organism: Gavialis gangeticus (Gharial)
Lineage: Eukaryota; Metazoa; Chordata; Crocodylia; Gavialidae
Exons: 3
Source: RefSeq, a predicted model, not a curated record